RNAcentral lists this transfer RNA (74 nucleotides) under Octopus vulgaris (common octopus). It matches the Rfam family "tRNA". Rfam says of the family: Transfer RNA (tRNA) molecules are approximately 80 nucleotides in length. Lineage: Eukaryota; Metazoa; Mollusca; Cephalopoda; Octopoda; Octopodidae. RNAcentral also lists the same sequence under 1 other name. The record is from Rfam by way of RNAcentral.
GGUUCCAUAGUGUAGUGGUUUAUCACAUCUGCUUAACACGCAGAAGGUCGUGAGUUCGAAAUUCGCUGGAACCU